GAUGAACGCUAGCUACAGGCUUAACACAUGCAAGUCGAGGGGCAGCGGUAUCGAAAGCUUGCUUUCGGUAGCCGGCGACCGGCGCACGGGUGAGUAACGCGUAUCGAGCCUGCCUCAUACUCGGGAAUAGCCUCGCGAAAGUAAGAUUAAUGCCCGGUGUUUUCAGAGUCCCGCAUGAGGCUUUGAACAAAGAUUUAUCGGUAUGAGAUGGCGAUGCGUCCCAUUAGCUUGUUGGCGGGGUAACGGCCCACCAAGGCAUCGAUGGGUAGGGGUUCUGAGAUGAAGGUCCCCCACAUUGGAACUGAGACACGGUCCAAACUCCUACGGGAGGCAGCAGUGAGGAAUAUUGGUCAAUGGGCGGAAGCCUGAACCAGCCAAGUAGCGUGCAGGAAGACGGCCCUCCGGGUUGUAAACUGCUUUUAGUUGGGAAUAAAACGGGGCUCGUGAGCCCCCUUGCAUGUACCAUCAGAAAAAGGACCGGCUAAUUCCGUGCCAGCAGCCGCAGUAA
This 508-nucleotide ribosomal RNA is filed under the name uncultured bacterium. Its description in RNAcentral is "partial 16S ribosomal RNA". It matches the Rfam family "Bacterial small subunit ribosomal RNA", at positions 28 to 523 of the family's 1533-position model. The record is from RNAcentral.